RNAcentral lists this unclassified non-coding RNA (267 nucleotides) under Talaromyces aculeatus. RNAcentral's name for it is "partial contains 18S rRNA, ITS1, 5.8S rRNA, ITS2 and 28S rRNA". The stretch from base 1 to 44 matches the Rfam family "Eukaryotic small subunit ribosomal RNA", at positions 1788 to 1831 of the family's 1831-position model. The record is from RNAcentral. Lineage: Eukaryota; Fungi; Ascomycota; Eurotiomycetes; Eurotiales; Trichocomaceae.
AUUGUAACAAGGUUUCCGUAGGUGAACCUGCGGAAGGAUCAUUACCGAGUGCGGGCCCUCGCGGCCCAACCUCCCACCCUUGUCUCUAUACAUCUGUUGCUUUGGCGGGCCCACCGGGGCCACCUGGUCGCCGGGGGACGCACGUCCCCGGGCCCGCGCCCGCCGAAGCGCUCUGUGAACCCUGAUGAAGAUGGGCUGUCUGAGUAUUAUGAAAAUUGUCAAAACUUUCAACAAUGGAUCUCUUGGUUCCGGCAUCGAUGAAGAACG